This 493-nucleotide ribosomal RNA is filed under the name uncultured bacterium. Its description in RNAcentral is "partial 16S ribosomal RNA". It matches the Rfam family "Bacterial small subunit ribosomal RNA", at positions 27 to 507 of the family's 1533-position model. The record is from RNAcentral.
GAGUGAACGCUGGCGGUAGGCCUAACACAUGCAAGUCGAACGGCAGCACAGUAAGAGCUUGCUCUUACGGGUGGCGAGUGGCGGACGGGUGAGGAAUACAUCGGAAUCUACUUUUUCGUGGGGGAUAACGUAGGGAAACUUACGCUAAUACCGCAUACGACCUACGGGUGAAAGCAGGGGAUCUUCGGACCUUGCGCGAUUGAAUGAGCCGAUGUCGGAUUAGCUAGUUGGCGGGGUAAAGGCCCACCAAGGCGACGAUCCGUAGCUGGUCUGAGAGGAUGAUCAGCCACACUGGAACUGAGACACGGUCCAGACUCCUACGGGAGGCAGCAGUGGGGAAUAUUGGACAAUGGGCGCAAGCCUGAUCCAGCCAUACCGCGUGGGUGAAGAAGGCCUUCGGGUUAUAAAGCCCUUUUGUUGGGAAAGAAAAGCAGCAGGUUAAUACCCCGCUGUUCUGACGGUACCCAAAGAAUAAGCACCGGCUAACUUCGUG